RNAcentral lists this ribosomal RNA (497 nucleotides) under uncultured bacterium. RNAcentral describes it as "partial 16S ribosomal RNA". It matches the Rfam family "Bacterial small subunit ribosomal RNA", at positions 28 to 507 of the family's 1533-position model. The record is from RNAcentral.
GAUGAACGCUGGCGGCGUGCCUAAUACAUGCAAGUCGAGCGAACGGACGAGAAGCUUGCUUCUCUGAUGUUAGCGGCGGACGGGUGAGUAACACGUGGAUAACCUACCUAUAAGACUGGGAUAACUUCGGGAAACCGGAGCUAAUACCGGAUGAUAUUUUGAACCGCAUGGUUCAAAAGUGAAAGACGGUCUUGCUGUCACUUAUAGAUGGAUCCGCGCUGCAUUAGCUAGUUGGUAAGGUAACGGCUUACCAAGGCAACGAUGCAUAGCCGACCUGAGAGGGUGAUCGGCCACACUGGAACUGAGACACGGUCCAGACUCCUACGGGAGGCAGCAGUAGGGAAUCGUCCGCAAUGGGCGAAAGCCUGACGGAGCAACGCCGCGUGAGUGAUGAAGGUCUUCGGAUCGUAAAACUCCGUUAUUAGGGAAGAACAUAUGUGUAAGUAACUGUGCACAUCUUGACGGUACCUAAUCAGAAAGCCACGGCUAACUACGUG